UUUGAUAACAUCCUGAGGAACUUGCAUGUCAGUAUAUUUUGGCACAAGCAGUUUUCCACUACUAUAUUGUUUCUCUCUGUAGAACUGCUGAAGUAAGGUUACUGCAGUUACAGGGGAAAAAUACUUAUGAAAAAAUAUUUCACACUUUCAUUUCUUAUUUUGAAGAAUACUACAUAAUUUGAUACUGUUCUUUUUAUUUGGUACUAUAAAAUACAUAUGAAAACUGAUCAGUGCUCCAGCUUAAAACCAUAGGUAUUCAGUGUCAUGUACUCACUAUAUUUGAUAACACUGUUUGCUGUAUUUUACAUAGCACUAUGCUAAUUCCACUCUACUUCUCAAUAUCUGUGUACAUGUAAGACGAUUUCCUAAUGGUAGAGAUUUCUUUAUAUCUCAUUUGAAAUGAUGAGUCAGUUUUUAUUUUUCAGAUGGAAGCGUUUCCUGUUUGUUGCGUUUCAUCUAUUUCCCAGUAGGACUCAUUUUUCAUCGCCAUUAUGGCCAUUUGUGCUCUGUCUAGCUAAAUAUUUGUCCAAAAUAAUCUGAGUAAAGGAGAAUCCCAGGUACCACUUCUGAACUAGAACUGGCUUCUUCAGAGCUGGCUUGGGUGCAAGUCUGUGCACUUUGAGGAUUUCUCAUGAACUUUCCUGCAGUACUGCAUACACGUACGGUUAGUUCAGCUCAAAAGCAGUGGGGAGCAGUGACACCUGAGUUUUUAAACAGCUCUGAGAUAUUAGCACAGACACACCUAACCUUGCAAAGUGCAGAGCUGGCACUACUACCUAAUAUACCUUGUUAACUUGAGGUGCAUAAGUGUUGAUGCUGUGCUUCUCUAAUAAGACAGGUGCUGUGAACAGUACAGCUGCGUUUGUGUGGCACUACACCUCAACUACUGAAUCCUGCCAGCCUCUAACUGGAGAGCCAACUUCAGUAUCUUAAAUCUGUGGAACAAAUGAUAUGCCACCUGUAUUGUCCAGUGUUAGAUAAUACGAAGAGUUUGGGAAAUACCUUUUCCAGCAACAAAGAAUCUCAAAGAAGUGUUGAGAAAGAGAUUUUCUUUCACCAACUGCCAUCUUCAACUCAGUGGAUUUCCUCAUUCCUUCUUGAGCUGUCUUCUCUUAUCUGAAGCCAGACGUUACAUUUCAGAGCCUUUAGUUUUUUUUUCCCCACUGAAUAGCAAAUUUCUCCUUGUUUCGGAGGCAGAGGAUCCUUGAUCCUCGUCUCGCAACAUCAUUUUUUGAUGUUUCAGUUUCUGUAUGUGCCUGUGUGGGGUAGAAAUUGCAACUGCCAUCUUCUCUGAAAGGGAUGGGUGUGCUGCAAUUGCUGUCGCUCAACUUCUUCUGAAAAAGACCAUUGAAAAACAAGAGUGGCAUCUUUAGCAGUAUAAGUAAGAAAGGAUGCAUGGGUUGCAUAUCUACAGAGCGAGAUAAAAAUGGGGCAGAGCUGUUAAUCAGACAGAAUUAUGAGCUGGAGGAUUGACCAGGAUCAUAGUGACCCCAUCGUCUAAGACACUGGUUUUAUGCAGCUGAGUGUUCAAGGAGCUUGUCACAUUCUGUUUCAGGAUAGCUGAAGCUCAGAUGCAAAAUGUGCAUUCAUUUUAAAAAAAAUUUUCCUGACUCAUCCUGUAGUGCCUUCCUUUGCAGUUUGGUCUAUGUUUGUUAUUUCAGUUCUCCGUGCCUCAUGAAAGUAGUGCAAAUCAGCUGCCCCCACAUUAGCAUUCGGAUUCCUUAUAGCUCUCUGCUGCUGUCAUGUGAUCCUUCAGCCCUGAAGGGGUGUUUUUAUGAGCACUGACCUAUUUUACCAAACAAAGGAAUCUGAGCAGUGAAAUAGAAGGGACAGAGAAUGCAGCCUAAUAAGAGCUUUGUGUAAUUUGUCAGUGUCACCCCUCUUCUACAGAGGGGGUUACCUUCCAACCAUAUAGGAACCAACUUUUUUUUUUUUUGGUCUGGCAGCAUAAAGGAGAUUAAGGCAAAAAUUAAAAGUGAAAGUGAAAUAUAACCGACUGCAUUAUAAGACAUCCUGAUUUGAAGCCUGUGUUCAGAUAAAGACAAAUGUUUGGGGAUGCACAGUGCCUAACUUCUGAGCCUGCAAUUGCAGUCUGCAGCCUCUCCCUUCCAUGUGCAGUACCUGCAGCGAGCCCUUGCAUGCUCAACCCGAAAAUGAAGUUCACAGCACUCUGCAUGCUCAGGGGUCCUUCUGCUCUGCUCAGUGCUGGUGAGGCCACACCUGGAGUACUGCGUCUGGUUCUGGGCUCCCCAGUACAAGAGACAUGAACUUUCUGGAGAGAGUCCAGCAGAGGGCCAUGAAGAUGAUGAAGGGAUUGGAGCCUCUCUGCUAUGAGGAGAGGCCGAGAGAGCUGGGACUCUUCAACCUGGAGAACAGAAGGUUCAGGGGGGAUCUAAUCAAUUUACAUAAAUACUUGAAGGGAGGGUGCAAAGAGGAUGGAGCCAGUGGUGCCCAGGAUUAGGACAAGAGGCAGCGGACACAACUGAAUAUCUGAACAUCAGGAAACACUUCUUUGCUGUGUGGGUGACGGAGCACUGGGACAGGCUGCCCAGAAAGGUUGUGGAGUCUCCUCCUUGGAGAUCUUCAAAAGCCAUCUGGACAUGGGUCUGGGCACCCUGCUCUGGGUGGCCCUGCUUGAGCAGGGGUUGGACCAGAUGCCUCCAGUGGUCCCUGCCAACCUCAAUCAUUCUGUGAUUCUUUGAGUAAUAUCCAAGCAAGCCAAUGAAGAAUUGAAACAAGGCAUUUCUUAAUGUCAUCUUCUUUCCAGGUGUUGCGGAGCUAGAGAAGUGCCAAUCUCCGCUUGUGAUUCACAGUGGAGACUUUGCAUCUAUAAUUAGUUUUUUAAGCUGAGGAUGAAUCAUUCCUCUUCUUUUUAAACAGGUUAGGAGAAAGAGGACAUACAGUCUUUCGUAUUGUAUCCUAAUGGCAAAGGCACUAGGCUCUCAAGUGGAGAGAUCUCUGUUUUACCCAAUGAUGAUUUAAUACAUGAACUGUAUUAAAUUGUAUUUGCUCUGUUGCCCUCUCACCUUUUUUGAAAAGUGGCUCAGUUUUAACACAAAGACGACACUGGGUCUGCUGCCAUUUCCAUUUUGAGUGGCGCUCACCCAGGUGGCUAGAGGUCUCUCCUGGAAUCCAGAAGAUGCUGAUUUGAAUCUUCUUUUGCCAUAGCAAGAACUGACCCACACAUCUAUAAGUGGAAGCCUCAUAUAUUUUAAUGAAAGCAGUGUUUGCCAGUGGUUUUUUUUUCAGAGCCUGUGUAGAUGUAUGCUGCUAGGUUCUGGCCCUGAGGUCUAAGGAAUAAAGGAAAGCUCAGCUUUGAGGAUUGCAAUUGAAUGUUAAUGUGCUGUGUAAACAAAAACUGAGGCAAUUCUAGCCGUGCACGGGGCAGAGUUUUACAUUCUUUAGAAAGACUUCACUAGGAAAAAUGUUGGCAGCUCUGAAGUUAGUCACGAGUUUGAUGACUUCCCUGUCUGAAGAGGCCUCAGGACACUGAUUAGUUAUUUUCAGAGGAUUAAUAUCAAGGAAAAGGAACAAAA
Long non-coding RNA from Cygnus olor (mute swan), 3536 nucleotides. RefSeq lists it as uncharacterized. The transcript has 2 exons. NCBI's taxonomy places the organism in Eukaryota, Metazoa, Chordata, Aves, Anseriformes, Anatidae. The record is from RefSeq and is a predicted model, not a curated record.